CCGCAAUUUUUUUGAAACUUGCAGAUGAAGAAACCAGAUUUGGGGAUCCCGAGUGGCCGCAGCGGUCUAAGGCACUGCAUCUCAGUGCUAGAGGCAUCACCUCAAACCCUGAUUCGAUUCCAGGCUGUAGUUCAACCGGAUGUGAUUGGUGAUUCCCAUAGGGCGAUGCACAAUUGGCCCAGUCGUUAGGACAGAGAGCCGAUCAACCCCUUCUCUGUUCCACUCCUGAUUUUCGGCAGCAAGUUUAAUAUCUUUCAGGACUUUGACUCAGAGGAGAGGAAAGUGAUCUGCAACACCCUUUGGUUUAUUGCCCAUUACUACGCAGCUUCUUUGAUGUAGCAAGUCUGAGAGCUUCAUGUCCAAAACUAAGAGCUUAUUCACACAACUAGCAUUUGGGACAGAAAAUGGGU
Oncorhynchus tshawytscha (Chinook salmon) is the source of this 410-nucleotide long non-coding RNA. RefSeq lists it as uncharacterized. NCBI's taxonomy places the organism in Eukaryota, Metazoa, Chordata, Actinopteri, Salmoniformes, Salmonidae. The transcript is spliced from 3 exons. The record is from RefSeq and is a predicted model, not a curated record.